GCCCUCUUAGGAUUGUACCUGGAGAGUUUCCAGUACUCUACCAGUCUCGACUACAGGAGGGAGAAUCAAGCAGAGGCAUAUCCAUCCUGUUCCUAGCUUGGGAGGUGGCUAGCGAGUGGAAGCAAUCUGCUACAAGU
RNAcentral lists this small nucleolar RNA (137 nucleotides) under Ornithorhynchus anatinus (platypus). The record is from RNAcentral. Lineage: Eukaryota; Metazoa; Chordata; Mammalia; Monotremata; Ornithorhynchidae.